This 167-nucleotide ribosomal RNA is filed under the name uncultured bacterium. RNAcentral's name for it is "partial 16S ribosomal RNA". The record is from RNAcentral.
AAGGCUCAGGGGCGCAGCUGAGCAGCCAUGCAGCGUGUAUGAUGACUGCCCUCUGGUUUGUAAACUUCUUUUAUAAAGGAAUAAAGUGGUCCGUUUGUGCCUUUGUGCAUUUACUUUAUGAAUAAAGAACGGCUAACUCCACUCCCAUGAGCCAGCCUAAUCUAAUA